This 253-nucleotide ribosomal RNA is filed under the name uncultured bacterium. RNAcentral's name for it is "partial 16S ribosomal RNA". It matches the Rfam family "Bacterial small subunit ribosomal RNA", at positions 524 to 776 of the family's 1533-position model. The record is from RNAcentral.
CACGGGGGGAGCAAGCGUUGUUCGGAUUCAUUGGGCGUAAAGGGCUCGUAGGUGGCUUUGUAAGUCGGAGGUGAAAUCCCACGGCUCAACCGUGGACACGCCUUCGAAACUGUGAAGCUUGAGGCUGGGAGAGGAGAUCGGAAUUCCUGGUGUAGCGGUGAAAUGCGUAGAUAUCAGGAGGAACACCGGUGGCGAAGGCGGAUCUCUGGACCAGUUCUGACGCUGAGGAGCGAAAGCGUGGGGAGCGAACAGG